RNAcentral lists this small RNA (890 nucleotides) under Arabidopsis thaliana (thale cress). Its description in RNAcentral is "ATSL287910". The record is from RNAcentral. Lineage: Eukaryota; Viridiplantae; Streptophyta; Magnoliopsida; Brassicales; Brassicaceae.
AAAUGCUUUGAAAAAAAGUUAAACUUUGUUGAAUUAUGAACAACAUACUACUCUAAUUAGAAAGCAAAUACAAAAAAUAAAUUCCCUAAAAAUAAUAUUUAGAGCUCCUCUUAAUAAUUAAGUAUUGAAAUAUUCUUUCACUAUUCAUAAGAAACUAUGUUUUAAGUUCAAAUAGAAAAUCACAAAUUUAUGUUAUAUUUUUUGAGAACAAAAUUCGUUUUGGAUGAAAUUGUAGUAAAGUGAAAAUAUAUAAGUUUGUGUGAAGAAAUCAGUAAUAACAGAAAAUAUCAAUUUAUUGGCUCAAAAUAGUAAAAGCAUUCCAUAUUUGAAGCACUUUUGGAAAUUGAGACACAAUGUUUCCACAAGUCAUCACUCUUCUUCAAGUAUUCUCUUUCGUGGGCAAUUAACAUGGGUUUAUCUGCAAUAUAUUUAAUAAGCGUAUCGUGACACAUUUUUCCUUCUUUGACGAGAUCCUUGCAACAAGGGUCAGGCAUGGUUCCAUUUUCAAACACAGCAGCGAUUAUAUCCAAAGCACACUUAGGAGUGAUUUUAACAAAACAAGUAUUCCAUAAUAAUGUUGCUUCAGCUUCUUCGACUGAGAAAGCCGGAACAAACGCACACACCAAAGCUAAAACAAUGAACAAUGUAGUAAUCUGAGUGUUAAAUUUAGACAUAUCUACUUAUGGUUGAAAUAUACAAGAAAUAUUCUUAUUUUACUAAAGAAAUCGUAAGAAAGAAUGAUUAGUAUUUGUUAUUUAAAAAAUGGGGUAAUCUAACUUUUAUAUAGGAAAUCAAAAUCACAACGUAACUUCUAAAAAAACCAAAAAAGAUUAACGUUAUAUUUAAUGGCAAUUAAAAUUUUGACAAAUAAAUAUACUACCAAACUUAAA